Molecule: unclassified non-coding RNA, 244 nt
Filed under: plant metagenome
Description: partial contains small subunit ribosomal RNA, internal transcribed spacer 1, and 5.8S ribosomal RNA
Source: RNAcentral
UCUCCGUUGGUGAACCAGCGGAGGGAUCAUUACAGGACUCGCAAGACUCCUUCACCCUGUGUACCUCACUACAAGCACGUUGAUUCGGCGGGUGUCCCGGCGGGGGUUUUCCCCCGCCGGUGCGCCCAGCCAGCCGGCAGCCUACUAUACUCUGUCUCUCUGCGUUUGCAUCUCGAGAAAAAACAGGCAAGUUAAAACUUGCAACAACGGAUCUCUUGGUUCUGGCAUCGAUGUAGAACGAAGC